AUGCAGUCGAGCGAAUGGAUUAAGAGCUUGCUCUUAUGAAGUUAGCGGCGGACGGGUGAGUAACACGUGGGUAACCUGCCCAUAAGACUGGGAUAACUCCGGGAAACCGGGGCUAAUACCGGAUAACAUUUUGAACCGCAUGGUUCGAAAUUGAAAGGCGGCUUCGGCUGUCACUUAUGGAUGGACCCGCGUCGCAUUAGCUAGUUGGUGAGGUAACGGCUCACCAAGGCAACGAUGCGUAGCCGACCUGAGAGGGUGAUCGGCCACACUGGGACUGAGACACGGCCCAGACUCCUACGGGAGGCAGCAGUAGGGAAUCUUCCGCAAUGGACGAAAGUCUGACGGAGCAACGCCGCGUGAGUGAUGAAGGCUUUCGGGUCGUAAAACUCUGUUGUUAGGGAAGAAC
This 406-nucleotide ribosomal RNA is filed under the name Bacillus sp. enrichment culture clone E8. RNAcentral's name for it is "bacterial SSU rRNA". It matches the Rfam family "Bacterial small subunit ribosomal RNA", at positions 55 to 450 of the family's 1533-position model. Lineage: Bacteria; Bacillati; Bacillota; Bacilli; Caryophanales; Bacillaceae. The record is from RNAcentral.